This is a long non-coding RNA of Bos taurus (domestic cattle), 288 nucleotides long. Lineage: Eukaryota; Metazoa; Chordata; Mammalia; Artiodactyla; Bovidae. The record is from Ensembl.
UUAAGGGAGUGAAAGGGGGAACUCAGUGCACAUGACAUUGAUGGGCUGAGAAAAAUUCCUAUUUAGAAAUCUGAUGCAAAAGCCAAAGUCAUCGUUCUCAAAUCCAGACUUGAUUCUAACUCAUUGGCCAAACUAGUGCUUCUGCACAGGCUUUGGGAGGGACAGUUGGUUAUCAAGAACGAAGAGGUUCCUGACUUUGAAGGAGUGAGUGGCUGGUGUUCAGAUGAAGAAAGACACCUGCCAUAACCAUGGCCUGUGCUCAUCACCAUUAACAAGGACCAGGGCUGG